GUGGAAGUGAUGCAUGACCUUCAACCUGACAACAGUGAUGUCUUGUAUUCAUACUGUCUGAUCCAC
Small nucleolar RNA from Euleptes europaea (tarantolino), 66 nucleotides. Lineage: Eukaryota; Metazoa; Chordata; Lepidosauria; Squamata; Sphaerodactylidae. The record is from RefSeq and is a predicted model, not a curated record.